GCAGAACAACAUGCUUUUAUUUUACCAUCAUGCAUAAAAAGGAAGACAAAUAUGCCAAUGGUACACUUCCAAUUUGUCAGAGCAAUUUCACAGUAUUUAAGCAAUUUAGGAAAAAAGACACAUCACUUACUAAGUUGUUACCAGGGAAAAUUAUCAUGUAAGACAAUCAAUUAAACCACACUUUUGUAGAUUAUUUUUCCACGAAGGCAAUUUGACAAGCCUAACAAAGACCAAGUUGUUCAAACUAUGUUUCUAGGAAUAUAGUUUAACAGAAACAAGAACAAGUUGAAAACUGUUAUGAAUAUUCAUAUGUCUCUAUAUUGUACAGGAAAGUAAAGACUAUUGUUCUUCCAAAUGUUCCCAAUUGAAAUCAAAAGAAUGUCUGCACAGCUCAAUUUUCACAAUAAGUUUAGAAACAGAAAAAAAAUAAGAUUUUACUAAAUCCUAAUGAAAUAACAAUCACCCACAUAAAUCAGGUCACAAAACAAGCAAGCAAGCAUUCAAACUUGCGUUGUAUUUCUUUAAAGAACCCUUGUCUAGGCAACAUAUUUAACACUUUAACCCCUUCAAUUCUCCUUUAGCAAUCCUGAAAAGAAUUUCUCCAUUCAUCACCAUUGAGGAGUAAGUACUCCUGCCUCGAAGGCUCUUAACAUCAGCACAGUCUUCAUUCUAGGCCCAAUUUUUACCUGGCCCAUGCCUCUAGCCUUUUGUUCAGUUUCCCCUGCUUAGGGCACCCAUCACAAUCUCUUUAGUUCCUCCACCCAUUAUAAACUAGAUCUCACCUUUCAUCCCAUCUAGACGUGUCUCCCUUUAAAUAUUCUAGGAGCUGAUAAAAGGGCUAGGAAGUAGGAAGUUGGGAAGAAAGAAAGGGGUGGGGGCAUAAGAGCUUUAGCACUCUAUUUUACAGGACAACUUGUCUCUGAAAAUGACAGAACCAAAAUGAAAUUAAAAGCUUGCUUUUACAAAUAUUUCUGAGCUAAUACUUAAAAGAGAGGAGUGGGAGGCUGAGGCGGGCAGAUCACGAGGUCAGGGGUUCGCGACCAGCGUGGCCAGCAUGGUGAAACCCCCAUCUCUACUAAAAAUACAAAAAUUAGCCCAGCAUGGCAGUGCGCACUCGUAGUCCCAGCUACUCGGGAGGCUGAGGCAGGAGACUCGCUUGAACCCGGGAAGUGGAGGUUGCAGUGAGCCGAGAUCGCACCACUGCACUUCAACCUGAGCGACAGGGCAAGACUCCGUCUCAAAAAAAAAAAAAAAGGCAGAGGAAAAGAGGGAGAGAGGGACCUUGGCAGGAGCCAAUGCAGGGCAGGUAGCAAUAGAAAGUGACUAGAGAACUGAAUAUCCAAAGGAAAGAGGGUGCAGAAAAGUCAGCAAAAACAAAACACAGUAGAAGACAUACCCAUUGCUGAUGCCCAAGCACAAGUCCAGCAGAAGGUGGUAGGAGACCUUGUGCAGGAGUAUUCCCAAGGGCAAAUGUUAACCAGACUGGAACCCAAAGGGCCUCGGGAUCUCUACUGGCUCCCUUAGUGGGCGACGUCUGGCUCUACGGACUCCUUCACGCAACAGGUAGUAUUGCAGUGGAUUUGGCCACAGAUCCUCUUUAAUAAUCUCAGCAAUUUUGUCGGACUCUGGAAGGCUGUGGUCUGAAAACCAGGUGAAGAAGCUGCAGAUGAGGUCUUGGUUUCUGCGAAUGAAGGACUGGGGUUCAUGCCCCCUGCGCCAUAUAAUUGGAGUAGAAAGGGACACCACCCGGCCGGAGGAUCUUACCUCAUAUUCCUUGACAAUCAGCUUGUUUCUGAAGUAGGGGUUUCUUCUAAAGAAGAACUUGAACUUGCAGCCGGUUCUAGGGUGUCUGAGUUCCUUCACCUCUAAAUUGGUUAUGUACCUUAACAUCUCUGCAUCUUGGCCCCUAAUCAUGGCGGACAACUGGGGAUGGUUUCGAAAAGCCGUCAUCCAGAAGCCCGGGAUAUUCUGAAUGAUGUAGUUCCUCCGCUCCAGGUAGUGUCGACGCAUCCGCCCAAACUUGUGCUCCAGCUGUUGGAAGGCCCUGUCGGCCUGAGCAUUCACAGUGUCCAGUUCCAGCUGGAUGGCCUCCAGAGGGUCCAUGCGGAGAGCCUCAUGCAGAGGCCAGGGCCCUUCCUCCUCCCUCGCCUCCUCCUCCACUCUAUCUUCCUCCGCCACUUCUAUUUCUUCACCUUCCGGCAGCUGCUCCUCUACCUCCAUCUGCUCCUCCACUACCUCCUUCUCCGCCAGGCCUUCCUUCACCACCACCUCAGCGCUCUCCCCCUCAGCCACGGCUGCUGAGACAGUGGCGCACUUUCCUGUCUUCACCUCCUCGGUGUCGUUCUCGGCCCCCGCCCCCGCCGGCAGCUCAGACGCGGAUCUCUCGGCGCCAUAGAUUUCUAGGGCCUUCUCUCCACCCUGAACGCCCUUUUUCAAGCUGCGGUCCACUGCCACCACCACCACAGAAGCGGCUGCCAGGCCCUCAGCGGGAGGCUGGCCCUCUUCCUGCCCGGCUUUGAUCGCCACAUGACCGCGACCCCCAAUAACUCGGAUCUGGGGAGUACUGCCACGGCCCGCGGGAUCCUGAGGUACGCCCCCCUCCUCUGAAGGCUGUGGAGGCGGGAGCGCGAUGGUCUCCGAGCCUCCCUCACCCGGCUCCGCCAUCACCUGUGUCGUCUCGCUUUGGUCGCGGAGCUUCAGGCACUGGUGUGCGUCCGGGUCGCUCGGGACGUGGUCAGAAAUAAUGAUGCUGUGGGUUUGGAGGGGAGGGGUCCUCUCGACCCCAUCCACGCCGCUCAUGUUGGUAACAGUCGGACCAACCGCAGGUGAACGCCCGUUUUCCUCAGAGAAGCCGAGCUCUGAGCUAACCGCCGCUCGCACCGCCCACCCGCCAGUCUCACU
This is a long non-coding RNA of Macaca fascicularis (crab-eating macaque), 2901 nucleotides long. Lineage: Eukaryota; Metazoa; Chordata; Mammalia; Primates; Cercopithecidae. The record is from Ensembl.